This 490-nucleotide ribosomal RNA is filed under the name Escherichia coli. RNAcentral describes it as "partial 23S ribosomal RNA". It matches the Rfam family "Bacterial large subunit ribosomal RNA", at positions 1922 to 2411 of the family's 2925-position model. The record is from RNAcentral. Lineage: Bacteria; Pseudomonadati; Pseudomonadota; Gammaproteobacteria; Enterobacterales; Enterobacteriaceae.
GGUAAACGGCGGCCGUAACUAUAACGGUCCUAAGGUAGCGAAAUUCCUUGUCGGGUAAGUUCCGACCUGCACGAAUGGCGUAAUGAUGGCCAGGCUGUCUCCACCCGAGACUCAGUGAAAUUGAACUCGCUGUGAAGAUGCAGUGUACCCGCGGCAAGACGGAAAGACCCCGUGAACCUUUACUAUAGCUUGACACUGAACAUUGAGCCUUGAUGUGUAGGAUAGGUGGGAGGCUUUGAAGUGUGGACGCCAGUCUGCAUGGAGCCGACCUUGAAAUACCACCCUUUAAUGUUUGAUGUUCUAACGUUGACCCGUAAUCCGGGUUGCGGACAGUGUCUGGUGGGUAGUUUGACUGGGGCGGUCUCCUCCUAAAGAGUAACGGAGGAGCACGAAGGUUGGCUAAUCCUGGUCGGACAUCAGGAGGUUAGUGCAAUGGCAUAAGCCAGCUUGACUGCGAGCGUGACGGCGCGAGCAGGUGCGAAAGCAGGUC